GAUGGAUUCUCUGAAGAAAACAAACUUCAAAUGGACGUUAACAGUGGUGAAUCCGAAACUAGGAAAUUCUUAGGUUAUUUAUCUUUAGAAGUGUUAUACUCAACCUUAAUGGAUAUGGUUAGCGUUAGUAGUACUGCAGGCCAUUGAUUUGUCUCUACGUAUCUGUAUUUUUUUUUCUUCGUUUCUUCGAAGAAUAUUUAUCUUGUACAAAUUAUGUAGCUGAGAAUAUCAUACAUCCAAUAGCUCAUAAGCUAAAUCAUUGUGGAUUCAAU
Molecule: unclassified non-coding RNA, 272 nt
Filed under: Hevea brasiliensis (rubber tree)
Lineage: Eukaryota; Viridiplantae; Streptophyta; Magnoliopsida; Malpighiales; Euphorbiaceae
Source: RNAcentral